Molecule: long non-coding RNA, 1054 nt
Organism: Bos taurus (domestic cattle)
Lineage: Eukaryota; Metazoa; Chordata; Mammalia; Artiodactyla; Bovidae
Source: Ensembl
GAAAAAUUAACAAAGGAGAGAGGGAGGAAGUAGGUUAAACCUUCUUAAGAAUGCAUCGACUCUGCAGGAAAGUGGGAGAGGUAGGAAGUCACAGACAGCCCUGUUCAAUAAUUAAGAGGACUCAGAGGAAUGAAAGUAUAAGAGCUUUGGGUUCAGCCUGCUAAAAGCUUGUAAGCAUUUCCCAGAGCUGUCUCCAUUUUCAAGACUCCCACAGUUUUAAAGGAACAUUUUCUAUACUCCUCCCUCGCCCCCUCCUUUUCUCCUCUCCCCAUCUCCAACUUCUCUGAAUUAGAAGCCCAGGACACUGUGAGACAUGCCAUAAAGUGGCACAUCUUGCCAAUCCUGAUGAAUGAAAGGCUGGAAAUCCAGCUGUGUGUGAGAAAUCCAGUUGCUUUUAACAAAUUUUCCUUCUAUAAUUUAACGUGGGUCUCAGUACUCUUCCAGCGCAUUAAGCCUUGGUCUCUUUCACCACUUUCCAAGGGCUCAGAAGCAGCCAAUGCCUGCAUUUUCAACCUCCCUUAAACAACUUUGGGGAGAAAUCAGAUUAAAGAUGUAAAGAUGUCAUCACUCUCCUUGGAGAUCAUUUCAAACCUGAGGACAUUCCUUUUUAAUUUAUUAAGUAGCUGUGUUUGAAGGCUUCCCUGGUGGCUCAGCAGCAAAAAAUCUGCCUGCAAUGCAGGGGAGAUGGGUUGGAUUCCUGGAUCAAGAUGAUCCCCUGGAGAAGAAGAUGGCAACCCACUCCAGUGCUCUUGCCUGGGAAAUCCCAUGGACAGAGAAGCCAGAUCUCAUUUUUGGUGUUUGACCCAAGAAAUGUUUGCUUAUUUUAAGGUCACAAAGAUUUUCUCCUGUUUUUCUCUGCAGUUCUCUACCACAGAACCACCUGGGAAGCCCUAAUUGAGGUAAAAAAGAAAGAGAUGCUGGUAAAUCAACUUUAAGUGAUAAUUAAUGAAAUUUGCAGAGUACCUCUUUUAAGACCAUUUCAAGUUGUCAGACACAUUUGGAAUUAAGAAUUACUAUUUAUUUGCAUCAUUUUUUUAAAGUUACCCUACUAAAU